AGUGAACGCUGGCGGUAGACCUAACACAUGCAAGUCGAACGGCAGCACAGUAAGAGCUUGCUCUUACGGGUGGCGAGUGGCGGACGGGUGAGGAAUACAUCGGAAUCUACUUUUUCGUGGGGGAUAACGUAGGGAAACUUACGCUAAUACCGCAUACGACCUACGGGUGAAAGCAGGGGAUCUUCGGACCUUGCGCGAUUGAAUGAGCCGAUGUCGGAUUAGCUAGUUGGCGGGGUAAAGGCCCACCAAGGCGACGAUCCGUAGCUGGUCUGAGAGGAUGAUCAGCAACACGGGAAUGGAGAAACGGCCCAGACUCCUACGGAGGCAGCAGUGGGGAAUAUUGGACAAUGGGCGCAAGCCUGAUCCAGCCAUACCGCGUGGGUGAAGAAGGCCUUCGGGUUGUAAAGCCCUUUUGUUGGGAAAGAAAAGCAGCAGGUUAAUACCCCGCUGUUCUGACGGUACCCAAAGAAUAAGCACCGGCUAACUUCGUG
This 491-nucleotide ribosomal RNA is filed under the name uncultured bacterium. RNAcentral describes it as "partial 16S ribosomal RNA". It matches the Rfam family "Bacterial small subunit ribosomal RNA", at positions 29 to 507 of the family's 1533-position model. The record is from RNAcentral.